Molecule: long non-coding RNA, 426 nt
Organism: Pongo pygmaeus (Bornean orangutan)
Lineage: Eukaryota; Metazoa; Chordata; Mammalia; Primates; Hominidae
Exons: 3
Source: RefSeq, a predicted model, not a curated record
UUUAAUAAUCAUCAUAAUUUAUUAUUUAUUCAUUUAUUUUGAGACAGGGUCUCACUGUCGCCCAGGCUGGAGUGCAGUGGCAUGAUCUCAGCUCACUGCAACUUCCACCUCCCAGGUUCAAGCGACUCUCCUGCCUCAGCCUCCGGAGUAGCUGGGAUUACUGGCACCCGCCACCACGCCCAGGAAAAGCAAGUUGAUUGAAGGAAAAAUCUGUGGUCCGGGGAGAUGUUCCAAAUCCUGGAGGUGGAGAGGAAUGAAUGACGUUUGUGGCUUGCAGAUCAACUCCCCGCAGGGGGCGUGACGUUGUCACAGCCAAAAUUGUCCUCCACGCGCUGCUACGACAUCCAGCUGCCCUCUGGACUGCACCCAGGGACGCUGCUAUGAUCACUGAGCCAUUCACCAAUGUUCCAGCUCUUUCUCCCUCCA